RNAcentral lists this ribosomal RNA (252 nucleotides) under Providencia rettgeri. Its description in RNAcentral is "partial 16S ribosomal RNA". It matches the Rfam family "Bacterial small subunit ribosomal RNA", at positions 345 to 589 of the family's 1533-position model. Lineage: Bacteria; Pseudomonadati; Pseudomonadota; Gammaproteobacteria; Enterobacterales; Morganellaceae. The record is from RNAcentral.
GAGGCAGCAGUGGGGAAUAUUGCACAAUGGGCGCAAGCCUGAUGCAGCCAUGCCGCGUGUAUGAAGAAGGCCCUAGGGUUGUAAAGUACUUUCAGUCGGGAGGAAGGCGUUGAUGCUAAUAUCAUCAACGAUUGACGUUACCGACAGAAGAAGCACCGGCUAACUCCGUGCCAGCAGCCGCGGUAAUACGGAGGGUGCAAGCGUUAAUCGGAAUUACUGGGCGUAAAGCGCACGCAGGCGGUUGAUUAAGUU